RNAcentral lists this long non-coding RNA (1221 nucleotides) under Pan troglodytes (chimpanzee). RNAcentral's name for it is "lncRNA (ENSPTRG00000053089.1)". Lineage: Eukaryota; Metazoa; Chordata; Mammalia; Primates; Hominidae. The record is from RNAcentral.
AUGCCCAGCUCCGCGCCGCGCGGACCCUCGGAGCCCGCGCUCAGACGCCCCAGCUCCACCGAGAGGCCGCUUGCUCCGGGUCCUUCUUCUUCCCCAAGUGCGGGCAGAGCCCCCGGAGCCAUGGUCAGCCCUUCCGGCAGCUCCGAAGCCACUGGCAAGCCCCGAGGCAGGGAUGGCCCGCCCAGGAGGGAGGAAGACGACGUCCCUUCUGAAGAGAAGAGGCUGCGGCUGUUGCUGGAGGGGGAAGCGCACAGCCCGAGGACUGCGAGGACGGGGAGGACGCGCCCCGGCUGGGCAGGGAGGAGACCGGCACCCAGACAGGUGGCGACAGCAGAGAAGUGGAAUUCUCCACGAGUUUUCGGCAGCCUCGGUUUUCCCACCACCUCUAAAUCAUGCAAGACACAGGGUAAGAGCAAAGACAAGGUGGCUGUGGCCGAUGUCCACCCUCUCGGGGCGUCCCUUCUCUUCUCUGCUCCUUGGGCAGGGAGACCAUCGGGGUGCAACCUGGCUGGGGCGGGGAGGAGGUGCAGGGCCUGGCCAGAGCGGGACUGGCCACAGGCGGGGACAGCGACUGCCUGGGCCGGGGCAGGUGAGCGCAGCGCAGGCCAAGGCCAGGUGUGUCCGCGGUGCGCGCUAGAGGCCAGCAGUGGGCGCCAGAGAGCCAGGAGCGGCCCGCGGAGGAGCCCGCGCCGGCCCCGAUGCCCAGCUCCGCGCCGCGCGGACCCACCGAGCCCGCGCUCAGACGCCCCAGCUCCGCCGACAGGCCGCUCGCGCCGGGUCCUUCCUCUUCCCCAGGUGCAGGCAGAGCCCCCGGAGCCAUGGCCAGCCCUUCCGGCAGCUCCGAAGUCACUGGCAAGCCCCGAGGCAGGGAUGGCCGGCCCAGGAGGGAGGAGGACGACGUCCCUUCCGAAGAGAAGAGGCUGCGGCUGUUGCUGGAGGGGGGAAGCGCACAGCCCGAGGACUGCGAGGACGGGGAGGACGCGCCCCGGCCGGGCAGGGAGGAGACCGGCACCCAGACAGGUGGCGACGGCAGAGGAAUCCUUCUUAGAAAUUCCUAAGGCUCAAUGCUGUGUGGAAGAUUCUGAGAAAGAAAAUAGUUUCCGAUCUUUGGGAUUCCCGAGAAGGUCCAAUCUGCAAAAAGUUCAUUGCCAUUUCCAUCAAGGACACUGAGAACAAGAGUCUUAUCUGGAUUGGAUCCUGGGAAUUGAGAAGCUUCAGCAG